GACGAACGCUGGCGGCGUGCUUAACACAUGCAAGUCGAACGCUGAAGACCUGGCUUUUGUUGGGUUGGAUGAGUGGCGAACGGGUGAGUAACACGUGAGUAACCUGCCCUCUUCUUUGGGAUAACGCCCGGAAACGGGUGCUAAUACUGGAUAUUCACUGAUCUUCGCAUGGGGGUUGGUGGAAAGGUUUGUUCUGGUGGGGGAUGGGCUCGCGGCCUAUCAGCUUGUUGGUGGGGUGAUGGCCUACCAAGGCUUUGACGGGUAGCCGGCCUGAGAGGGUGACCGGGCACAUUGGGACUGAGAUACGGCCCAGACUCCUACGGGAGGCAGCAGUGGGGAAUAUUGCACAAUGGGCGAAAGCCUGAUGCAGCGACGCCGCGUGAGGGAUGGAGGCCUUCGGGUUGUAAACCUCUUUCGCUCAUGGUCAAGCCGCAACUGUGGGUUGUGGUGAGGGUAGUGGGUAAAGAAGCGCCGGCUAACUACGUG
Molecule: ribosomal RNA, 486 nt
Filed under: uncultured bacterium
Lineage: Bacteria
Description: partial 16S ribosomal RNA
Rfam family: Bacterial small subunit ribosomal RNA
Source: RNAcentral